This 66-nucleotide transfer RNA is filed under the name Colossendeis megalonyx. RNAcentral's name for it is "tRNA-Lys". The record is from RNAcentral. Lineage: Eukaryota; Metazoa; Arthropoda; Pycnogonida; Pantopoda; Colossendeidae.
UAUUGAAUGGCUGACAAAAGCGUUAGACUCUUAAUCUAUACUAUAGUAAAUUAAUACUUUCAAUAA